GGUGCCUCCUGAGCUCCCGGAACCGGCGUUGGGGAUCAACUUUGCCAGGGAUGGGAUGGACCAGAAAGAUUGGCUGGCAUUGGUUGCGGUCCACAGUGAUGCCUGGCUGCUGGCUGUCACGUUCUAUUUUGGUGCACGUUUCGGAUUUGAUAAAGAAGCAAGGCGUCGGCUUUUCAACAUGAUCAACAACCUCCCCACCAUAUUCGAGGUCGUGACUGGGGCUACUAAGAAGCCAUCAAAAGAAAAGACCCCUAACGGCAGCAGCAAAAGCAGCAAGAGCUCAAAGCCAGCAGCACGACUAUCAGUGUCAGAGUCGCAGACCAAGGUUCCGAAGAUGCCCCCACCGCCCAAGGAUGAUGAGGACAGCGAAGGUGAAGAAGAGGAAGACGAGGAGGAACACGGGAACACUCUGUGCGGUGCCUGUGGGGAUAAUUAUGCGGCAGAUGAAUUCUGGAUAUGCUGUGAUGUGUGCGAGAAAUGGUUCCACGGUGGGUGUGUGAAGAUCACUCCAGCCAGGGCGGAGCACAUCAAGCAGUAUAAAUGCCCAGCUUGCAGCAAUAAGAGGGCAAGGGCAUGAUCUCAGAAUAUCUGUGUUAGUCAUUCAGAUGCAGCAGUGAACAGGUGAAGACCUUGAGUGAGAAAACUUGGUUAUGA
Molecule: unclassified non-coding RNA, 654 nt
Filed under: Hevea brasiliensis (rubber tree)
Lineage: Eukaryota; Viridiplantae; Streptophyta; Magnoliopsida; Malpighiales; Euphorbiaceae
Source: RNAcentral